This 1461-nucleotide long non-coding RNA is filed under the name Equus asinus (donkey). Its description in RNAcentral is "lncRNA (ENSEASG00005038322.1)". The record is from RNAcentral. Lineage: Eukaryota; Metazoa; Chordata; Mammalia; Perissodactyla; Equidae.
UGAAAAUUGACAUAAAGAAGAGUUGAGAAGCAAACCAGUUGUGCCCUCUUGUGCCCCCCACCACCUGGUCACAGCGCUUUGUGGAACUGUGGAUUGCUUAACAGCCUCAAGAAACCAGCAGGGUGAGAAGGCCAGAACUAUGCUCAGCAAAUGCAGGAAUGAAGCACAGUUCUCUGCCUUUGAUUGGGAGAAAAAAGAAAAGUCCAGAGCUGGAGUGUUUGUGUCAUACCCAAGAUAAUGGGUAUCUUUAACCAACAAACUCAACCAACCAACCAACAAACCCCUUUCUUCAGAAGGACUUUCAAAUGAACAAGGACAUCGCUGCGAGAAGCAGAAAAAUAGAGACCCUGUAAAGAAGGCAUUACCAUGAUUAUGAUCUCCAUUUUACAAAAUGAGAAAACGGAGACUUAGCAAGAGACGUUAAGAACCUUGCCCAGGUUCCUACAGCUGAGAAGCCGAGGAGCCAGGAAUCCAUUCCAGCUUUGUCUUACUGGAGAGUCUCAACCACUGAGAAGUGAGCCGAAGACGUUUCUCCGGUUUCAUGUCCUGGGAAGCUCCUGGACACUCUGUCAAGAGGCAGGGAGUGCCCUGUUGUUCUUGUGUAUCUUCAUCUCCGUUCCUAACUAUGGAUGGGCAUUUCCACUUCUCUUCCCUCAAAAAGGGCCACACACAGCUGAUACCAUGGGCCCUAGGAGAAGGACACCUGGCGAGGACAUCUAAUCCUGUCUGGCAGGAACAUUUGAGACUCAGGACUCCUGAAAGUUUACUUACCUCAUCCCUCCGCUUUCAGCCAACUCUUGCUGACAGGCUCUUCCAGAGAAAGUUUGCCCUGUGACCUGAGCCAGAACACACCCCAACCCUCUCUGGAGAGAAGCAGAGUCAAGGAAAGAAGAGAUUUCAUAGUGUGGACAGUGUUGGUUCUUCAGCGCCGAGGCCUCUCGAGUGUUGGUUUGCGUUUCUCACAGGCGGAGAGCACAGCAGGAAGGCCUGCUGUAGGAAGAGGAAGGACUUAAGGGGGAGGACUUCCAGGCAGGGAGGAGGUAGACAAGUCAGAGGAGGCUCCCAGAGGCUGUGUCCUUUUCUGCCUUUUGGCCUUUCUGAGAAUACCAAGAUGGAGAUCUGAGCUUUUAGCACCCAAGGUCCUGCCAGAUCCCAGAAAGCACAAAUCGGAGACGGGCCAACCUAAAGUUAAGUGAAUAAAUAAUGAGUGAUCAGGGAGCUGCAACUUGACCAUCAAAUUUUAUGCUUAAUUUAAAUCUUAGAGAGGAAAACUUAUAAUCGUGUCUUCAGGCUCAGUUUCCUAACAUAUUUCUCUUUGUAAAAGUACUAUUUUUUUCAUAAGCAACUGGAAGAUUUCAAGUGUUUCCAAAGAACCUUUAUAAAAUCCCUAGCAGAGUCUCCAGUAAAGCUAUAAAUUGUAUUUCUUGUCCUUAAAAAAAAUUAUUGUGUUCUGUUCUCCAG